AACGCACAUUGCGCCCGCCAGUAUUCUGGCGGGCAUGCCUGUCCGAGCGUCAUUUCAACCAUCAAGCCCCGUGCUUGUGUUGGGGACCUGCGUCCGACCGCAGGCCCUGAAAACCAGUGGCGGGCUCGCUGUCCACACCGAGCGUAGUAACUAACCUCGCUCCGGAGUGGCGCGGGCGCCUGCCGUAAAACCCCCAAUUUAUCAAGGUUGACCUCGGAUCAGGUAGGAAUACCCGCUGAACUUAA
This 245-nucleotide unclassified non-coding RNA is filed under the name Apiosordaria sp. RNAcentral describes it as "partial contains 5.8S ribosomal RNA, internal transcribed spacer 2, and large subunit ribosomal RNA". The stretch from base 1 to 52 matches the Rfam family "5.8S ribosomal RNA", at positions 103 to 154 of the family's 154-position model. Lineage: Eukaryota; Fungi; Ascomycota; Sordariomycetes; Sordariales; Lasiosphaeriaceae. RNAcentral also lists the same sequence under 4 other names. The record is from RNAcentral.